This 123-nucleotide ribosomal RNA is filed under the name Cephalogonimus americanus. Its description in RNAcentral is "partial 5.8S ribosomal RNA". It matches the Rfam family "5.8S ribosomal RNA", at positions 34 to 154 of the family's 154-position model. Rfam says of the family: 5.8S ribosomal RNA (5.8S rRNA) is a component of the large subunit of the eukaryotic ribosome. It is transcribed by RNA polymerase I as part of the 45S precursor that also contains 18S and 28S rRNA. The record is from RNAcentral. Lineage: Eukaryota; Metazoa; Platyhelminthes; Trematoda; Plagiorchiida; Cephalogonimidae.
CGAUGAAGAGCGCAGCUAACUGUGUGAAUUAAUGUGAACUGCAUACUGCUUUGAACAUCGACAUCUUGAACGCACAUUGCGGCCAUGGGUUUACUCAUGGCCACGCCUGUCCGAGGGUCGGCU